Quercus robur (English oak) is the source of this 575-nucleotide long non-coding RNA. RefSeq lists it as uncharacterized. The record is from RefSeq and is a predicted model, not a curated record. The transcript is spliced from 3 exons. NCBI's taxonomy places the organism in Eukaryota, Viridiplantae, Streptophyta, Magnoliopsida, Fagales, Fagaceae.
CAACUUUCAAAGUUUUGUUAAUCUCUAUCGUUUUACUGUCAAAAAAAAAAAAAGUUGUUAAUCUCGUCCUCUGUUGGCUAAGCUUCUUCUGCACAAGCUAUGGUCUCAACUUUCCAGUUCCACACCUCUACUCGCUAUAUUUAGUAAUUCCUGUGCUUAAUUGCACACUUUUAUUGCAAAGGAAAAGCUUGGAGGAUUGGCUCAAAAAAGAAGAAGGGAAAUUUUGGAGGAAAGUUCCUGAAAUAGUAGGCAAAGGUUGCAGACUUCUAAGAGUGUUUAAGAUCAUUUUAAGCACAAAUUCCGAUGAGAUGAGAGAACAAAAAUGUUCUCGUAGUGGGGGUGUUAGAGGUCAAAUGUAUUGCGAAUCCCGGGCGUCCCAUGGUUCGUCAAAGAAUUCAAAGUCUGCAAAUUGACGCUGCAACCAAUUAUUUGAGGUGGUCAGAAAUAUGAAGAAUGUACAACUUGACACUAUUUGUUUGACUAUGCAUGCUUAGAUUGAGUACAUUUAUAGGACUAUUAAUUACACAACAUAUUUGUAAAAUUCCAGAAUUGUUUUUUUGGAACUUACCUCCGGG